Molecule: ribosomal RNA, 440 nt
Filed under: uncultured bacterium
Lineage: Bacteria
Description: bacterial SSU rRNA
Rfam family: Bacterial small subunit ribosomal RNA
Source: RNAcentral
CCUACGGGUGGCAGCAGUGGGGAAUUUUGCGCAAUGGGGGAAACCCUGACGCAGCAACGCCGCGUGGAGGAUGAAAUCCCUUGGGAUGUAAACUCCUUUCGAUCGGGACGAUUAUGACGGUACCGGAAGAAGAAGCCCCGGCUAACUUCGUGUCAGCAGCCGCGGUAAUACGAGGGGGGCAAGCGUUGUUCGGAAUUAUUGGGCGUAAAGGGUGCGUAGGCGGUUUGAUAAGUCAUCUGUGAAAUCUAUGGGCUCAACCCAUAGUCUGCAGGCGAAACUGUCGGGCUUGAGUAUGGGAGAGGUGAGUGGAAUUUCCGGUGUAGCGGUGAAAUGCGUAGAUAUCGGAAGGAACACCAGUGGCGAAGGCGGCUCACUGGACUGGUACUGACGCUGAGGCGCGAAAGCGUGGGGAGCAAACGGGAUUAGAUACCCUGGUAGUC